Nematostella vectensis (starlet sea anemone) is the source of this 1577-nucleotide long non-coding RNA. RefSeq lists it as uncharacterized. The transcript is spliced from 2 exons. Lineage: Eukaryota; Metazoa; Cnidaria; Anthozoa; Actiniaria; Edwardsiidae. The record is from RefSeq and is a predicted model, not a curated record.
AUCGCGCGGGUACCCUGUGGUGUCAAUCCAUCCAGUCAGCCGCGCAACUCCCAGGCCCCACGCAGACUCACAAGGGGAAUGUGAUUAUAAGCGUUUUUUUUUUUUGCCUCCUCUCUUUAUGCUUCAAGUAUGCAAGGCAGCUAGAAAAUAGUAUUUAAUGAGAAAAGAUGAGAAAUUAAAUGGGCCGAUUGCGGUCGAGGGCUAAACAUGUCAUGAUGAAUCCUUUUGUCUAAGAAAAAUGAGAAGAUUAGAAGCCUUACGUACGAGCCGAUAGUUAAACCUACCCGAGUGUUCGUGAAUCCGCCCGUCUCGUUUUUCCUCAACUGUAGCAGCAGCUAAAAAGAGGACUACAGACUCAACACUACUAUUCCCAUAAAGGCGUCACGAAGCUAGCUUAUAUUGCACAGGUGAAUAAUUCCAGUGAAUAAAGCAAGGACUAAAGUAUAGCCUGCUGUGGAAAGCAGAUGUAAAUAAAUGUUUUUCAUAUUCCUUUCUUGCUUAGUAUAAUUAUAUUUCAUCAACCCAUAUUCUUUCCCUUUAGCCAACAUAAUCUUCUCUUGCUCUGUUGAUACUUCCCUUAUCAAAAAAUUUUUGACCAUAUUAUUGACCAUAUUAUAAUCUCUGAUGCUUGAAGACCUAAAACAUCUUAACAAGACUUAACAUCAUUGCAAAUAAACCAAACUGAUUGCAUUAUUCUCGUGUGCAUUUAUUUCCAUAGGUAACAACAAUAAAUUCUAUUUUCAUAUGUUACAACAAUGAACGCUGGCAACACUGUUAUUAGCAAAUGUAGAUAGUCUUUUUCUUGUAAUUUUUAUAUGCAUUUGCUCAAUGUUUUGGCCCUCUUCAUGACUAAUUAGGUUUUACUUAUUCAUGAACAUGGUUCAAGAGAGACUCGUAUGUGAUAAUGGCGGGGGGGAGGGCUUUGAAUAUUUUUUAAAAUGUAAUUUUUAAAAAAUGGAUGUUUGUUAUUAGAUGAAAGAUGGAUUUUUUACAGAAUAUUUGAGAAAGGAUGGUGGAUAUGAAAAGGAUUUGAUUUAUCAAAGAUUUGUAGCUUGGUAUGCAAUAAAUAUAGUAAUUAGUAAAAAUGUAUCAAAGGGAUUAGUAUGAGGUGGUGUAGAAUUGAGGAUCCGGUAUUUUACGGUGUUGAAAGUUUCAACCUAGGUGUUAUGGGAUAUUUAAUUUUGGACUCUCUAAGGCCCCAUAGUUUAAUAAUAGAUUUGUAAAGAACACUUAAAAGGACAUGAAAACGUCUAGCACCCUUUGCAAAUCUUUAAUCAUACUACUUCGUCUAUUACCAAGUGCAACCAACCAGCCACAGCACCUCUGUCCGUACCACCAUAUUUAUAGCCUAACAUUGCCCCUUGCUUCAAGGCAACCUGAAAUUAUGUUGAGCACCUUCUGCUGUAGUAUUGACUUAUUGAACUCCGUCAUGUUUUUUAGGAGAGUUUGAGAGCUAUAUAUAAUAUCAUCUUUUCUCCUAUAUAUUCAAGGGACAUAAACUUGAGGGUCUCUUUUUUUGUAAACAUCUUUGUAGAUUCUCUGAGUAUACUAAAUAAAUAAAACAACACUAUCAUAAA